This 4459-nucleotide long non-coding RNA is filed under the name Mytilus galloprovincialis (Mediterranean mussel). The record is from RNAcentral. Lineage: Eukaryota; Metazoa; Mollusca; Bivalvia; Mytilida; Mytilidae.
CUUCUGUAGUUUGAUACUGUAAAUUAACGAUGCACAUAACGGCUUCUUAAUAUUGUCACAUAUAGUAUCUUUUAGCCGAAAAGUGUAAAUUACUCAAAGUAAAUGAUAUGCUUGAAAAAGUAGUUAAAAUUUAACAGUUAAUAUCUACAGAUACUUAUAUCGUCGACAACAUGAUUAUAGGUUCAAAAUUUGAGGUAAGUCAUUUAAACGAUGCACGGCGGUUUACAAACUUGAAAGAUAAAACAAUAAAACAAAAUCAAUUUAUCAGAAACGAAACAGAGAGGAAUAAGAUACAAAUGAAAAUUCAAACUCAUAAGUCUAAAAGGAACCGACAAUGCCACUACAAAAAAAACCAAGAAGCAAACAAAAGACAAACACAUAUAUUAACAAUCCUUUCGAAAAAAAAGGCUUUAUCUCAUAAAAAUAAGCACACCUUGGAUUUAGUGUCAAGUAAACCUUAGCUAUUCAGCUUCCCAUUGCACAAUGUGACGAAAAAAGUAUUGCCCUAGAACAUCUUUCAUUAACAUUUCCGGAAGGAUGGAGUAGGGUGUCCGACCCCAACUUUGGACUUAGUUUAAAAAGAAAAUAAGCCCAAGCACACCCUGGAGUUUUUGUCCAGUAAACUUUAGCUAUUCAACUUCCAAUUGCACCUAGUGGCGAAAAAAGUAUUGCCGUAAAACAUUUUUUAUUUACAUUUCCGUAAGGGUAGGGUAAGGUCUCCGACCCCAACUUUGGACUUAAUUAAAGAAAAAUCUAAGCCGAAUCACACCCUUGAUUUAUUGUCAAGUAAACCUUAGCUAUCCAGCAUCCCAUUGCACCAAAUGGCGAAAAAAGUAUUUCCGUAAAAUAUUUUUUAUUGACAUUUCCGUAAUGGUGGGGAGAGGUGUCAGACCCCAACUUUGGACCCAAUUUAUAAAAAAAGAGGCCAAAGCACACCCUGGAUUUUUUGUCAAGUAAACUUUAGCUAUUCAGCUAUCCGAAUCAGUUAGUGGCGAAAAAAUUAUUGCCGUAAAACAUUUUUUAUUGACAUUUCUGUAAGGGUGGGGUAGGGUGUCCGACCCCAACUUUGGACCUGAUUUAAAAAAAAGAAUAAGCCGAAGCCCACCCCUUGAAUAAAUGACAAGUAAACCUUAGCUAUUCAGCUUCCCAUUACACCUACUGGCGAAAAAAGUAUUGCCAUAGAACAUUUUUUAUUAACAUUCCGUAAGGGAAGGGUAGGGUGUCCAACCCCAAAUUAGGACCUUAAUAAAAAAAAACUAAGCCGAAGCACACCCUGAAUUUAUUGUCAAGUAAACCUUAGCUAUUCAGCUUCCCAUUGCACCUAGUAGUUAAAAAAGUAUUGUAAGGGUGAGGUAGGGUGUCCGACCCCAACUUUGGACUAAUUUAAAAAGAAAAAAAGCCGAAGCACACCCGAAUUUAUUGUCAAGUAAACUGUAGCUAUUCAGGUUCCCAUUGCACCUACUGGCAAAAAAAAAGUAUUGCCGAGGACCUUUUUACUUACAUUUCCGUAAGAACUUUAUUAAAAAAAUAAACUAAGCCGAAGCACACCCUUGAUUUAUUGUCACGUAAACCUAGCUAUCCAGCUUCCCAUUGCACCAAGUGGCGAAAAAAGUAUUGCCGUUCAAUAUUUUUUAUUGAUAUUUCCGUAAUGGUGGGGAGAGAUGUCCGACACGAAUUUGGACCUAAGGUAUAAAAAAAAUAAGCCGAAGCACACCUUGGAUUUUUUUUUUCAAGUAAACUUUAGUCAUUCAGCUUCAUAUUUCACAUAGUGGCGAAACUAGUAUUGCCGUAGAACAAUUGUAUGAACCUUUCCGUUCGGGUGGGGUAGGGUGUCCAAUCCAAACUUUGGACCUAAUAUAAAAAAAAAUUAAGCCGACGCACACCCUGGAUUUUUUGUCAUGUAAACCUUAGCGAUUCAGCUUCCCAUUGCACCUGCUGGCGAAAAAAGUGCCAUAAAACAUUUUUUUUGUAACAUUUCCGUAAGGGAGGGUAGGGUGUCCGACCCCAAAUUUGGACUUAAUUAAAAAAAAAACUAAGGCGACGCACACCCUGAAUUUAUUGUCAAGUACACUUUAGCUAUUCAGCUUCCCAUUGCACCUAGUUUCGAAAAGAGUUUUGCCGUAGAACAUUUUUUAUUAACAUUUCCGUAAGGGUGGGGUAAGGUGUCUGACCCCAACUUUGGACUUAAUUUAAAAAAAAAACUAAGCCGAAGCACACCCUUGAAUUAUUGUAAAGUAAAUCUUAACUAUUCCGCUUCCCAUUGCACCUAGUGGCGAAAAAAGUAUUGCCGUAAAACAAUUUUCAUUAACAUUUCCGUAAGUUAGGGGUAAGAUGUCCUACCCAAACUUUGGAACUUAUUUUAAAACAAAAUAAGCCGAAGCACACCCUGAAUUUUUUGUCAAAUAAACUUUAGCUAUUCAGCUUCACAGUGCCACAUAGUGGUGAAAAAAGUAUUGCCGUAGAAGAUUUUUGUUAACAUUUCCGUAAGAGUGGGGUAGGUUGAAUAACACAACCAGUGCUCCAUGUGGAUAAUGGUCUUUAUACUCUUGUUUAGCACCUUAGAUAAUUUUCAGUUUUUUGAUUGGGCUCAUGUUGCUCAGUCCUUAGUUUUUGUGUUUAAAUUUUGUGUGAAAUGUUUCGUCUUUUUGUCGUUUAUCGUAUUUUUCAAUUACUUUGUCAAUUUUAUUUCGACUGUAUAUAUUUGAUAUCCCUUUUGUAUCUUUCGCCUCUAUUUUAAAUACCUAUACUGGUCUUUAUGAUGAAUGUAUUAUUUACAACCACUUGGUCGAUGCCACUGCUGGUGGAGUUUUCAUUCCACCGAGGGUAUAAUCAGCCCAGUAGUCAGCACUUCUGUGUUGACAUGAAUUAUCAUUGAUAUGGUCAUAAUUUAAAACUGUUCACAAAGCUUUGAAUGUUUGAAAAACAAAGGCUUUUUUUACUUUAAACAAUAGAUUAUCUAAGCUGUAUUUGGCAAAACUUUGAAGAUUUUUUGGUUCUUAAAGCUCUUCAACUUUGUACUUUAUAUUUACUUUUUAACAUUUCUUAUUCGAGCGUCUCUGACGAGUCUCCUGUAGACAGAACGUGUGCCUGGCGCAAAUUUGAAUUCUGGUAUCUAUGAUGAUUUUAUUUACAUAAGCUAUUGAAAGCAGCUCCCAUGACACAAUGUAUUUCUUUGAACAUUAUUUUUUCAUAUAUUAUCAAUAAAAAUUAAGAUGAGACUAACUGAAGGAAUAGCAUAAACUCUAAAAGAAAUGAGGCCGGUAACUUUGACAAUAUCAAAGUCACAGGAUCUGCAUCAUUCACUCACCAUGUGAAUCCGUAAUCAGUCAAGCAAUUUGUAUUGGGUAUAACAUUCAAUCACUAUAAUUACAUAUUAUACGACUUUGAUCAUCUAAGACAUCGAAAACAUAUCGGAAGAGAGUCGAGACACAUACAUAUCGUAUCAUGCAACUAAUUCGCGAAGGUGAAUUUGAAACUUAUAAAGUGUCGAUUUCAGUCGUUCUUUCUCAGUUGAAGCAGAUUUUGUGUAUUCUGCUUUGAUACGCAGUCAGCAUAUUAACAACACCCAAAGGAUCAAGUAGAUAUGGAGCAGACCGUCCGGUGAUAAUUACACCCUUAAUAUUAUAUUGUAAACAUGAUACAAGGACGCACUGAUACGUGGGUUAUUAUGAAGUUACUGGUCAUCAUCAAUAUAUGUAAAGGUGAAAUUCAAGAACCUUGAAAAUUUCUUUUUUUAUGUUUUUAAGAUGGUUUUGCAUGACUGUUAAUUCCUUUGAAGACAAAACCGUGUCAACUUGUAGUGACGCACUUUUAGUACAUAUUGGAAUAUCCACUGUCUGCUGAAAUGAUGAUGUCAUUCUUGGUAAAAACAAAUCUGGAAUCGUUACAGUUUUUUCACAAUGAUAUAUUUUCUAGGGCAUACAACAUGAUAUGUGUACCAAAGAACUAUUAUAAAUAAAACUCUGCUUAAUGAGACGAUGUACUUAAUACUUCAAUAAAGUAACGAGGACAGUAAUGUGUAGCGUAAGAAAAUCAACGCAUUUAUUACUCCUUUGUUUUUAUUAAAAUUGUAAAAUGUGUGAUGAACAUUAGAUCGGUAAAUUUUUCAAUAAUUCACACCUGAUGACACCGCCUAUGGUUAUAUUGCAUCACACAAUUUAUGUGGUAAAGUUUUUGUGACGGUUAAAAGGGAGACGAAAGAUACCAAGGAACAUUCAAACUCAUAUGUCAAAAAAGCUUAGCCUGUAAUGAAGUGGUUGUUGAUAGUUGCUGUGUAUCAUAUUUGCUUCAUUUAUAGCUUUUGUAAUUUCUUGUGAAAAUAAUUCCAUCGUGUUUGCAAUGAUUUAGCAUAACUCUUAAAGACAUGAAUUAAGUAUUUGAUGUAUAGAUUGUGUGAUUUUAGAUUAAAAACGUAUUAUUGACGGAUACGUGCCAUCAUUUUCCCGUCCAUAGACUUCUG